CCUGGCUUAGGACGAACGCUGGCGGCGUGCCUAAUACAUGCAAGUCGAACGGUCUUUUCUAUGGAAGCUUGCUUCCACUGAGAAGAUAGUGGCGAACGGGUGAGUAACACGUGGGUAACCUGCCCAUAAGAGGGGGAUAACAUCCGGAAACGGGUGCUAAUACCGCAUUAGUUUUCUUGAUCGCAUGAUUGAGAAAGGAAAGACGGCCUUUGUGCUGUCGCUUAUGGAUGGACCCGCGGCGUAUUAGUUAGUUGGUGAGGUAACGGCUCACCAAGACGAUGAUACGUAGCCGACCUGAGAGGGUGAUCGGCCACAUUGGGACUGAGACACGGCCCAAACUCCUACGGGAGGCAGCAGUAGGGAAUCUUCCGCAAUGGACGAAAGUCUGACGGAGCAACGCCGCGUGAGUGAAGAAAAGGUUUUCGGAUCGUAAAACUCUGUUGUCAGAGAAGAACAAGUUGGAGAGUAACUGCUCCAGCCUUGACGGUAUCUGACCAGAAAGCCACGGCUAACUACGUGCCAGCAGCGGC
This 530-nucleotide ribosomal RNA is filed under the name uncultured bacterium. RNAcentral describes it as "bacterial SSU rRNA". It matches the Rfam family "Bacterial small subunit ribosomal RNA", at positions 18 to 518 of the family's 1533-position model. The record is from RNAcentral.